GGGGUCGUGGCUCAGUGGUAGAGCACUUGCCUAGCAUGUGUGAGACUGGGUUCGAUUCUCAGCACCACA
Molecule: transfer RNA, 69 nt
Filed under: Marmota monax (woodchuck)
Lineage: Eukaryota; Metazoa; Chordata; Mammalia; Rodentia; Sciuridae
Description: tRNA.Ala
Source: RNAcentral